CGGUCAUGAUCGACAGUCUGUCCGAGCAUCGCCGCGGGAGUGAGGAGCUUUUCCGAUCGGUAAAGCUCUGUUGUAGAGACGACAACGAUCGAGAGUACUUUCAUGCCAUGCCGUAUCUAGACCAAGAAAGCCACGGCUUAACUACGUGCCAGCACCCGCGGUAAUACGUAGGUGGCAAGCCGUUGUCCGGAUUUAUUGGGCGUAAAGCGAGCGCGGGCGGUUUCUUAAGUCUGAUGUGAAAGCCCCCGGGCUCAACCCGGGGAGGUUCAUUGGAAACUGGGAGACUUGAGUGCAGAAGAGGAGAGUGGAAUUCCCAUGUGUAGCGGUGAAAUGCGUAGAUAUAUGGAGGAACACCAGUGGCGAAGGCGGUUCUCUGGUCUGUAACUGACGCUGAGGCUCGAAAGCGUGGGGAGCAAACAGGAUUAGAUACCCUGGUAGUCCACGCCGUAAACGAUGAGUGUUAAGUGUUGGAGGGUUUCCGCCCUUCAGUGCUGCAGUUAACGCAUUAACCACUCCCCUUGGGGAGUCCGCCCCCAAGGUUGAAUUUCAAAGGAAUUGACGGGGGCCCCCCCAAGCGGUGGACCAUGUGGUUUAAUUGGAAGCAACGCGAAGACCCUUCCCAGUUCUUGCCAUCCUUUGACCACUCUAGAGAUAGAGCUUCCCCUUCGGGGGCAAAGUGCCAGGUGGUGCAUGGUGGUCGUCAGUUCGUGUCGUGAGAUGUUGGGUUAAUUCCCGCACCGAGCGCAACCCUUAUUGUUAGUUGCCACCAUUCAGUUGGGCACUCUACCAAGACUGCCGGUGACAACCCGGAGGAAGGUGGGGAUGACGUCAAAUCAUCAUGCCCCUUAUGCCCUGGGCUACCCACGUGCUCCAAUGGGAAGUCCAACGAGUUGCGAAGUCGGGAGGCUAAGCUAAUCUCUUAAAGCUUCUUUCAGUUCGGAUUGCAGGCUGCAACUCCCCUCCAGGAAGCCGGAAUCGUUAGUAAUCGGGGAUCASCCCCCGGCGGUGAAUCCGUUCCCGGCCCUGGUACCCACCSCCCGUCCCCCCCCGAGAGUUGGUACAACCCGAAGUCGGUGAGGUCCCCUUUGGAGCCAGCCGCCUAACGGUGA
This 1109-nucleotide ribosomal RNA is filed under the name Enterococcus faecium. Its description in RNAcentral is "bacterial SSU rRNA". Lineage: Bacteria; Bacillati; Bacillota; Bacilli; Lactobacillales; Enterococcaceae. The record is from RNAcentral.